GACGAACUGCCCAAACGUUGUUCGGAAUCACUGGGCUUAAAGGGCGCGUAGGCGGCAUGUCAAGUCAGGGGUGAAAUCCGGCAGCUCAACUGUCGAAGUGCCUUUGAUACUGACGUGCUCGAGGGAGGUAGGGGUCUGUGGAACUUCUGGUGGAGCGGUGAAAUGCGUUGAUAUCAGAAGGAACGCCGGUGGCGAAAGCGACGGACUGGACCUUUUCUGACGCUGAGGCGCGAAAGCUAGGGGAGCAAACGGG
Molecule: ribosomal RNA, 253 nt
Filed under: uncultured bacterium
Lineage: Bacteria
Description: partial 16S ribosomal RNA
Rfam family: Bacterial small subunit ribosomal RNA
Source: RNAcentral